This 224-nucleotide long non-coding RNA is filed under the name Elaeis guineensis (African oil palm). RNAcentral describes it as "long non-coding RNA (EGUI_LNC082255)". The record is from RNAcentral. Lineage: Eukaryota; Viridiplantae; Streptophyta; Magnoliopsida; Arecales; Arecaceae.
ACCCUCCAGGGAUUCUACCGACGUCCGACCUUCGGCGACAUCUUUCCGAACCUCCCCGACGGCCGAGCCUCCACGAUGUUCCCAAGUUCUGCCAACGGAUAAACCUCCACCAGUGUUGGCCGGAUUCUCCACGGUGAACGGACUCCCUCCAGGUGUCUACGGUGGUCGAGCCCCUUCCAGACUUCAUCCGGACUCCUACGGGAGCCGGACUUCAUCCCCGACUC